RNAcentral lists this non-coding RNA (776 nucleotides) under Chromatomyia horticola (garden pea leafminer). Lineage: Eukaryota; Metazoa; Arthropoda; Insecta; Diptera; Agromyzidae. The record is from RNAcentral.
GUUUUAUUUUAGCUUAAAUUUUUGUUAUUAAUUUAUUUUAUAUGUAAAUUUUUGUGUGAAUAAAUAAUUAUUUAAAUAAUAAUUAUUUUAAAUAUAUUCGCAGUAAUUAAUAUUAUUGAUUAAAGAAAUUUAGAAAUAGUAAUAUUAAAUAGUAUUGGUUAAAUUUGUGCCAGCAGCCGCGGUUAUACAAAUAAUACAAAUAAAUCUUAUUAGUUUAAGUUAAAUUGAUAAUUAAAAUAGAUAUAAAUUUAUUAGGUGAAAUUUUAAAUUUAUUUAUUUUUAACAUAAAAAUUAAUUGAAGCUUGAAAAUUUUAAUUAAAAACUAGGAUUAGAUACCCUAUUAUUUAAAAUGUAAAUUUUUACUAAAGUAGUAUCAGUUAUGUUCUUGAAAUUUAAAAAAUUUGGCGGUAUUUUAGUCUAUUUAGAGGAAUCUGUUCUAUAAUCGAUAAUCCACGUUGGACCUUACUUAGUUUUGUUUUCAGUUUAUAUACCGUUGUUAUAAGAAUGUUUCAUAAGAAUAAUAAUUUUCUAUAAUUUUUAUUAAAAUUUAUAUCAGAUCAAGGUGUAGCUUAUAAUUAAGUAGAAAUGGAUUACAAUAAAAAUAUUUUUGGAUAUAAGUUUGAAAUUAAUUUAUUGAAAUUGGAUUUAAAUGUAAAAUUAUAAAGAUUGAUGAUUUGAUUUUAGCUCUAAAAUAUGUACACAUCGCCCGUCGCUCUUAUUAUUAAGAUAAGAUAAGUCGUAACAUAGUAGUUGUACCGGAAGGUGUAUCUAGAAUG